This is a non-coding RNA of Pimephales promelas (fathead minnow), 425 nucleotides long. NCBI's taxonomy places the organism in Eukaryota, Metazoa, Chordata, Actinopteri, Cypriniformes, Leuciscidae. The record is from RefSeq and is a predicted model, not a curated record.
CAACUACAGCAAUACCACUGACUCCAGACACCACAGCAAGCUCUCUGAAUCCAGGUCCAGCUGAUACAGCUUCAGAAACUGCUGGAUUAUUAUACAGAGUGAUUGUGAGUAUUGUUGAGAUUGCACUGUUUGCUGCUCCUACUGUGAUUCUUCUUCAGAUCAUCUGUGCAAGAAGAGCUGGGAGGAAGAACUUGAAGCACCCAGAGGAAAUAGAGAUGCCUGCAAUAUUACAAUAAAAUACUGGUGAUGUGUGUGAACAUUCAUCUUCUGCAGCUCCAGUCUCUUCAACAACACUGACUCCAGUCAGCAGAUCAAACUCUGAGAAGACAUCAAGCAGAACUACAGCAACAGCUCCUACACAAGGUUCAUGAUCACAUGACCACUGGCACACAUCAUCACUCUCGCUUCAGUGGUUUGCACUGGCU